Drosophila innubila is the source of this 648-nucleotide long non-coding RNA. RefSeq lists it as uncharacterized. The transcript has 3 exons. The record is from RefSeq and is a predicted model, not a curated record. NCBI's taxonomy places the organism in Eukaryota, Metazoa, Arthropoda, Insecta, Diptera, Drosophilidae.
UGGCAGCUACAAAAUGCCGUCGGAUGAAACCAAUGGCGAGAAACCAGAAAACCUCCAUGCGGAAUGUAUGUAUGAAAUGUAUGAGAGCAGGCAAGUGUGUGGAUGAGAGCGCCGACGCUAACAAAUGGGAGAGAAGAGGAGAAGAGUAUGCGUUGUCAUGGCAACGCCAGCGGCAGCCAUCUUGGAUGUGAGAGAGGGCGAGCAUGCAGCGGCCAUGCUGCUGCUGAGCUGCCGACACUCACCUGCAGCGGCGGCUGUUGUGAAGUUCUGUGACGUGACUGAAAUAUCGGAAUAUCGGAACAAGAGCCGCAGUCGCAGCAACAAGAGGCCAACGUUGUUUGUGCUUGUGCGGCAAUUUUGUGCCUGUCGGCAAUGCCGUAACGACAGUAGCGACAGUCGCCGUGACUGUUGAACGAGUGCGCCUGCGCUGUGCCCGGACUGCGACAUUGUCCGGCACAGGGAUGGAUGCACAAAAGCAGAGGCAGCGGCAGCGGCAGAGGCAGAGGCAGCGCUAGUGGCAGCGACAGCGACGUCACGUCGACGAGGUGGAUUAUUUCGGAUAUUUUCGCAGUGACCCCCUGAAGUGACUCCUGAAAGGAUGGCAGCUGUUACAGAUCCUCGAGACCCUUGUGGAUGGAUACCUAACCC